CAAACUCUUGCAAUAUAUUUUUUUUGAAUUUCAAACCUUAUAUAGUUUUAUAUGUUAAUAUUGCAUAUGUAUUUUCGCCGAAGAUUAGCUCUGGAUUUGGUGUCUCAUUCCUUGGAAACAUGGGAUUUGGCUGGGAUUACCAUACUGCAAGUAUUUCAAGUGAGAAGAUAGUGAUCAAUACAUAGAGCUGGAUCUACAAGAAAGACAAAUGAACUGUUAAGGAAUGAGGAAGAGGUCGAGAAGAGACUCCAUGAUAUUGAGAAGAGGGAGAUUGAGCUUUGUAACAGGGCGAAUGAGAUUGAGAAAAGAGAGAUGGUACAAGAUGGUAGACAUGAGGAGUUUUUGAAGAAGACAGAGAAUCAGAGAUGCUUCUUGAGCAAAAAGAUGGAAUAAGACGUUCGCGGAGACUUCUCCGGGCGUAUUAGGCUUUUGUAGUUAUUGUUUGUGGCUACUUACUGACUUGGUAGUGGUUUUAUGUUAUAGCUUAGGUUGUUUAGUAAGUGCAGUGUAAUAGUUGGGGACUGUUAUAGCUUAGGCUGUUUAGUGAGUGCAAUGUAAUAGUUGAUGACUUUUUUUGUUGCAUCUUGCCUCUUAUGCUUGUGGCAUGAAAAGCACUAAAUUGGUUGUAAAAUAGCUAUAUUAUAAUCAAUGGAUGCAAUGGUUUUGUGCA
This is a long non-coding RNA of Juglans regia (Persian walnut), 670 nucleotides long. RefSeq lists it as uncharacterized. The record is from RefSeq and is a predicted model, not a curated record. The transcript has 2 exons. Lineage: Eukaryota; Viridiplantae; Streptophyta; Magnoliopsida; Fagales; Juglandaceae.